Cervus elaphus (red deer) is the source of this 425-nucleotide long non-coding RNA. RefSeq lists it as uncharacterized. The record is from RefSeq and is a predicted model, not a curated record. Lineage: Eukaryota; Metazoa; Chordata; Mammalia; Artiodactyla; Cervidae. The transcript has 3 exons.
CUGAUGGCCAGGGGCCGCUCCCAGCCACCCUCGGACCCUUGGGGAAGGUCCUGUGCCUCCUCAGGAGCAGGAAGACCUGGGAGAGGGAGGCAAAGUCUUGCAGGGCCUAGACUCUGCUGCUGAUUUUAAGUUGGGAUAUUUUUUCUGCCAACUUUUGACCCCAAAGUCUGCAUCAUUCUGCCCUAAUGAUGAGGGUGAGUAUCAGUAUGAAAACGCUGAUGAAGAGGAAGAGGAUGGAAAUGAAAAACCUGAAGAAGGACUCGAAAUGGAUGUGGUCUCAGCAAAGGGCAGCUCUGGAUAAUACAGUGGGAAGGCAUAGAAAGAAGCAGACAGCAAAAGAAAAGAUGAAUAUUUUCUUCAUGGAUAUUCUUGUUUUUAUUAGCCUAAAAUACUAAUUUUGCUUCAAAGUUUCAACACCCCAAAAU